Molecule: ribosomal RNA, 500 nt
Filed under: uncultured bacterium
Lineage: Bacteria
Description: partial 16S ribosomal RNA
Rfam family: Bacterial small subunit ribosomal RNA
Source: RNAcentral
AUUGAACGCUGGCGGCAUGCCUUACACAUGCAAGUCGAACGGCAGCACGGGAGCAAUCCUGGUGGCGAGUGGCGAACGGGCGAGUAAAGUAUCGGAACGUGCCCAGUCGUGGGGGAUAACGUAGCGAAAGUUACGCUAAUACCGCAUACGAUCUAUGGAUGAAAGCGGGGGAUCGCAAGACCUCGCGCGAUUGGAGCGGCCGAGAUCAGAUGAGGUAGUUGGUGGGGUAAAGGCUCACCAAGCCGACGAUCUGUAGCUGGUCUGAGAGGACGACCAGCCACACUGGGACUGAGACACGGCCCAGACUCCUACGGGAGGCAGCAGUGGGGAAUUUUGGACAAUGGGCGAAAGCCUGAUCCAGCCAUGCCGCGUGCAGGAUGAAGGCCUUCGGGUUGUAAACUGCUUUUGUACGGAACGAAAAGGUUUGGCCUAAUAAGCUGAGCUCAUGACGGUACCGUAAGAAUAAGCACCGGCUAACUACGUGCCAGCCGCCGCCGUAA